This 753-nucleotide ribosomal RNA is filed under the name Halomonas sp. RNAcentral's name for it is "bacterial SSU rRNA". It matches the Rfam family "Bacterial small subunit ribosomal RNA", at positions 50 to 797 of the family's 1533-position model. Lineage: Bacteria; Pseudomonadati; Pseudomonadota; Gammaproteobacteria; Oceanospirillales; Halomonadaceae. The record is from RNAcentral.
ACCACAUGUCAAGUCGAGCGGUAACAGAUCCAGCUUGCUGGAUGCUGACGAGCGGCGGACGGGUGAGUAAUGCAUAGGAAUCUGCCCGAUAGUGGGGGAUAACCUGGGGAAACCCAGGCUAAUACCGCAUACGUCCUACGGGAGAAAGGGGGCUCCGGCUCCCGCUAUGGGAUGAGCCUAUGUCGGAUUAGCUAGUUGGUGAGGUAACGGCUCACCAAGGCCACGAUCCGUAGCUGGUCUGAGAGGAUGAUCAGCCACAUCGGGACUGAGACACGGCCCGAACUCCUACGGGAGGCAGCAGUGGGGAAUAUUGGACAAUGGGGGAAACCCUGAUCCAGCCAUGCCGCGUGUGUGAAGAAGGCCCUCGGGUUGUAAAGCACUUUCAGCGAGGAAGAACGCCUAGCGGUUAAUACCCGCUAGGAAAGACAUCACUCGCAGAAGAAGCACCGGCUAACUCCGUGCCAGCAGCCGCGGUAAUACGGAGGGUGCAAGCGUUAAUCGGAAUUACUGGGCGUAAAGCGCGCGUAGGUGGCUUGAUAAGCCGGUUGUGAAAGCCCCGGGCUCAACCUGGGAACGGCAUCCGGAACUGUCAAGCUAGAGUGCAGGAGAGGAAGGUAGAAUUCCCGGUGUAGCGGUGAAAUGCGUAGAGAUCGGGAGGAAUACCAGUGGCGAAGGCGGCCUUCUGGACUGACACUGACACUGAGGUGCGAAAGCGUGGGUAGCAAACAGGAUUAGAUACCCCGGGUAGUUCCA